Molecule: RNase P RNA, 403 nt
Filed under: Euzebyaceae bacterium
Lineage: Bacteria; Bacillati; Actinomycetota; Nitriliruptoria; Euzebyales; Euzebyaceae
Description: RNase P RNA component class A
Rfam family: Bacterial RNase P class A
About the family: Ribonuclease P (RNase P) is a ubiquitous endoribonuclease, found in archaea, bacteria and eukarya as well as chloroplasts and mitochondria.
Source: RNAcentral
GGAGCCGGCCAGGCGACCGCGGCGCGGUGCCCGCAACGCUGGGGCGUCGCGUCGAGGAAAGUCCGGACUCCGCAGGGCAGGACGCUGGGUAACGCCCAGGCGCGGCGACGCGCGGACAGUGCCACAGAGAGCAGACCGCCAGGGGCCCAGCGGCCCGGCCCACGCGGCCGGGUCACCGGGUACCGGUGAGGGUGAAAGGGUGCGGUAAGAGCGCACCGGCGCCGGCGGCGACGCUGGCGGCCAGGUAAACCCCGUCCGGAGCAAGGCCAAGCAGGUGCGUCGACGUGGCCCGCCGAGCACCAGGUAGGCCGCACGAGGCCGGCGGCGACGCCGGUCCCAGAUGGAUGGUCGCCCCCCGGCCGCACGGCCGGGACAGAAUCCGGCUUAUCGGCCGGCUCCCCCU